AUGUGAUCGUCUCUCGCAUAUCAAUAAGCGGAGGAAAAGAAACUAACAAGGAUUCCCCUAGUAACGGCGAGUGAAGCGGGAAGAGCUCAAAUUUGAAAUCUUAAAGGGUUUCCCUUUACGAAUUGUAGUUUAAAGAAGUGUUUUCUGUUGAGGUUUUGGUAAAAGUUCUUUGGAAUAGGACAUCAUAGAGGGUGAGAAUCCCGUAUUUGACCUUUACUUUCAACUUUGUGAUACACUUUCAAAGAGUCGGAUUGUUUGGGAAUGCAGUCCAAAAUGGGUGGUAAAUUUCAUCUAAAGCUAAAUAUUGGCGAGAGACCGAUAGCGAACAAGUACCGUGAGGGAAAGAUGAAAAGAACUUUGAAAAGAGAGUUAAACAGUACGUGAAAUUGUCAAAAGGGAAGCGUUUGACACCAGUGUUGUUUUUCUGAAAAUCAAUUAAAGAACUGUUUAUGCUAAGCUGUUUAGACUUUAUCAGCUAACUGUUUAGUUUUGAGCUUUUCUUUAAUGCACUUUUCAGUUAACAAGUCAACAUCAAUUUCUUUUGCUGUAAAAAAGCUUGAGGAAGGUGGCUUGAGAUUCGUCUUAAGUGUUUAUAGCCUCUUGCCUAUGCAGUCGGAGAGAUUGAGGUCUGCAGCGUAGAUCCUUCGGGGCUAAAUGCAUUUGUGCUAAGUUAUAGCAUUUUAUAGACAACUUGUUGACUAUGAUUUGUCUUGUAGCUUACUCGCUUAUGUUAUUUUACCUACGCUUAGGAUGUUGAGUAGCGACAUACGCAC
This 773-nucleotide ribosomal RNA is filed under the name uncultured Neocallimastigales. Its description in RNAcentral is "partial large subunit ribosomal RNA". It matches the Rfam family "Eukaryotic large subunit ribosomal RNA", at positions 24 to 649 of the family's 3401-position model. Lineage: Eukaryota; Fungi; Neocallimastigomycota; Neocallimastigomycetes; Neocallimastigales. The record is from RNAcentral.